GAUGAACGCUGGCGGCGUGCCUAAUACAUGCAAGUCGAGCGAACGGACGAGAAGCUUGCUUCUCUGAUGUUAGCGGCGGACGGGUGAGUAACACGUGGAUAACCUACCUAUAAGACUGGGAUAACUUCGGGAAGCCGGAGCUAAUACCGGAUAAUAUUUUGAACCGCAUGGUUCAAAAGUGAAAGACGGUCUUGCUGUCACUUAUAGAUGGAUCCGCGCUGCGUUAGCUAGUUGGUAAGGUAACGGCUUACCAAGGCAACGAUGCAUAGCCGACCUGAGAGGGUGAUCGGCCACACUGGAACUGAGACACGGUCCAGACUCCUACGGGAGGCAGCAGUAGGGAAUCUUCCGCAAUGGGCGAAAGCCUGACGGAGCAACGCCGCGUGAGUGAUGAAGGUCUUCGGAUCGUAAAACUCUGUUAUUAGGGAAGAACAUAUGUGUAAGUAACUGUGCACAUCUUGACGGUACCUAAUCAGAAAGCCACGGCUAACUACGUG
This 497-nucleotide ribosomal RNA is filed under the name uncultured bacterium. Its description in RNAcentral is "partial 16S ribosomal RNA". It matches the Rfam family "Bacterial small subunit ribosomal RNA", at positions 28 to 507 of the family's 1533-position model. The record is from RNAcentral.